AAGAUGCAGUUCCCUACUUGAAAAGGAAGGAGACUGGCAGUGCAUUUCAGGCCUUUUAAAGGUAAGCUGACUUUCUGCAUCCGUCUGGCCUUCCUGUCCAUUGGUACAAUCUCUGUCGCGUGCUACCCCUCGCAGCAUGCUGGGGAUACUGCUUGUUGGCUAGGAUACAGACUGCCGAGUCAUGCCAGACAGCAAUGCGCUCUUUUGCACGUUUUUAUUAAUAAUUGUUCUUCCAAAGUCAAGCAAAACCAACGGAAUUCCAAGUUAGUAAAGGAAGAAGAAGCACUACAAAUGAGACUACAUCAGGUACUCGCACAGUGCUCUGUAGGAAGAUCUGAAGCAAGUGAGGUAAGAUGAUGCCUCUUGAUUUGGUGCAGCAUCUUUGUCUCCCAGAGCACUCCUUCUUAUGGUAGAUUGAUUUAUGAUAGUGACAUUCCCCCACCCCCUAGGCUUUACGCACACUCAUUCUGGAAACAUUUCUUUUUUCUUGCCUGCAUUUUAGGGCUCUGUUUUAGAUAUUUUAUCUAUUUUAAGUUGUCAUAUUAGCACAUGUAGCAAUUAAUUACUGAGAUAUCGUCAUGGGAUUCCAUCUAGUAAAUGAGGAUAAUGCUCCCUCUGUUUAGAUCCAUACCCCUUUAAAACGUCAAAAUCCCCGGUUUGCAUUUGAUACCUCCUGUGACUGAAGAUCACAUGUCCG
Molecule: long non-coding RNA, 697 nt
Filed under: Struthio camelus australis
Lineage: Eukaryota; Metazoa; Chordata; Aves; Struthioniformes; Struthionidae
Description: lncRNA (ENSSCUG00000013553.1)
Source: RNAcentral